CCUCCUCCUGCUGCUGCUGCUGCUGCUGCUGUCGCCACUGGCUGAGGGUGCUUCCCCCCUUCCUGUCUGUAGCAGCAGCAGCAGCAGCAGCAGCAGGAGGAGG
This is a non-coding RNA of Podarcis lilfordi (Lilford's wall lizard), 103 nucleotides long. The record is from the annotation of a GenBank genome assembly. NCBI's taxonomy places the organism in Eukaryota, Metazoa, Chordata, Lepidosauria, Squamata, Lacertidae.